This is a long non-coding RNA of Olea europaea var. sylvestris, 1025 nucleotides long. RefSeq lists it as uncharacterized. The transcript is spliced from 2 exons. Lineage: Eukaryota; Viridiplantae; Streptophyta; Magnoliopsida; Lamiales; Oleaceae. The record is from RefSeq and is a predicted model, not a curated record.
UUACCCACUCUCCCCCAGCCUUCUCUCUCCAAAGUUGCUUUAUUCUCUCUCUUCAAAACCCACAGAAAUCCACAAAUCCAACUGUACAUAUUCGGUGGUGUCGUCGCAUUGAACUUUCGCAAACGGUGUCGACGACGUAGGAUCGACGAGCUCCGAUCGCCAUUUGAAAACGACGUUUUAAAAACAAUAACAAGCUCCAGUUAUUAAUAUUUCUUCAUGAUUUGCAGUUCAUAAAAUCGGCCUGUUAUAUAUAUUUUAAUCACGAUAUAUAAACCUCAACUUCUUCUUGGGUCAUCCCUUCCUUCCAGGAAAUUGCAAUUUUCAUAAGGACGUUAUAAAAUCGAUCUGUUUGUGAGUUCGUGAAACUGCAAUUUUUUUCAAAAGAAACGUGUUUUUGAAAAACUGCAAAAAAAAAAAAAAAAAAUUGAACCCAAUUGGCCUGUUAUUAAUAUAGCUUCAUUCCAACGAUUUCUUGUUCCACACUGCACAUUCCCAGAAUUUCAUGUGCAUUUUUGGGUUAUUUUGUGUUGUGGUUUUCCCUUCAACUUCAAAUUAAAGGAGAAAGAUAACGAUAAUAAAGGAAAAUUAUUCCUUUGUUGUGGUUGGAAUUGUGGAUUUUGGGAGUGGGUUGUAAAAGAAAAAUCAAGAGCUGAAUGUAGUCGUGGCAACACUACCGCCCCUACCACUGUGAUGGACAACACAGAUGAAGAAAUGUCGCGUGUGUUUCAAUCUAGAGUUAGGAUAAGUGACGAAAAAGAAUUACAGAUUUUGGUGAAUGUGAAUGUGAGCAUCCGGACGGAAAGAAGAACCACGGAAGUGAAUGCGAAAAGGAAGCGGCCUACUUGACAUGUUGCAUCAUGGAAACAUUUUAGAUGCUUCAGUUUCGUGUAGACAAGAACUAAUUACCAGUUUCAGUUUUGAUCUUGUAAGCAAACUGGUAUUGUUUUAUGUUCCAAACUUGCAAUCGUUGUGGAUAAUCUAUAUUUGCAUUAUGCCCCUGUAUAUUAAUCUAUAUUUUUGCAUUA